RNAcentral lists this ribosomal RNA (237 nucleotides) under uncultured bacterium. Its description in RNAcentral is "partial 16S ribosomal RNA". It matches the Rfam family "Bacterial small subunit ribosomal RNA", at positions 540 to 776 of the family's 1533-position model. The record is from RNAcentral.
GUUGUUCGGAAUUAUUGGGCGUAAAGAGCGUGUAGGCGGCCAGGUAGGUCUGCUGUGAAAACUCGAGGCUUAACCUCGAGCUGUCGGCGGAAACCAUCUGGCUAGAGUCCGGAAGAGGAGAAUGGAAUUCCCGGUGUAGCGGUGAAAUGCGCAGAUAUCGGGAAGAACACCCGUGGCGAAGGCGGCGACCUGGACAAGUACUGACACUCAACUACGAAAGCGUGGGGAGCAAACAGG